RNAcentral lists this non-coding RNA (45 nucleotides) under Trichobilharzia regenti. The record is from RNAcentral. Lineage: Eukaryota; Metazoa; Platyhelminthes; Trematoda; Strigeidida; Schistosomatidae.
AUCCAGCUGACGAAUCCUAAAUAGGACGAAAUGCGCAUCCUGGAU